GGAGGCAGCAGUGGGGAAUAUUGCACAAUGGGCGCAAGCCUGAUGCAGCGACGCCGCGUGCGGGAUGACGGCCUUCGGGUUGUAAACCGCUUUUGACUGGGAGCAAGCCCUUCGGGGUGAGUGUACCUUUCGAAUAAGCACCGGCUAACUACGUGCCAGCAGCCGCGGUAAUACGUAGGGUGCAAGCGUUAUCCGGAAUUAUUGGGCGUAAAGGGCUCGUAGGCGGUUCGUCGCGUCCGGUGUGAAAGUCCAUCGCUUAACGGUGGAUCCGCGCCGGGUACGGGCGGGCUUGAGUGCGGUAGGGGAGACUGGAAUUCCCGGUGUAACGGUGGAAUGUGUAGAUAUCGGGAAGAACACCAAUGGCGAAGGCAGGUCUCUGGGCCGUCACUGACGCUGAGGAGCGAAAGCGUGGGGAGCGAACAGGAUUAGAUACCCUGGUAGUCCACGCCGUAAACGGUGGAUGCUGGAUGUGGGGACCAUUCCACGGUCUCCGUGUCGGAGCCAACGCGUUAAGCAUCCCGCCUGGGGAGUACGGCCGCAAGGCUAAAACUCAAAGAAAUUGACGGGGGCCCGCACAAGCGGCGGAGCAUGCGGAUUAAUUCGAUGCAACGCGAAGAACCUUACCUGGGCUUGACAUGUUCCCGACGGUCGUAGAGAUACGGCUUCCCUUCGGGGCGGGUUCACAGGUGGUGCAUGGUCGUCGUCAGCUCGUGUCGUGAGAUGUUGGGUUAAGUCCCGCAACGAGCGCAACCCUCGCCCUGUGUUGCCAGCACGUCGUGGUGGGAACUCACGGGGGACCGCCGGGGUCAACUCGGAGGAAGGUGGGGAUGACGUCAGAUCAUCAUGCCCCUUACGUCCAGGGCUUCACGCAUGCUACAAUGGCCGGUACAACGGGAUGCGACACCGCGAGGUGGAGCGGAUCCCUUAAAACCGGUCUCAGUUCGGAUUGGAGUCUGCAACCCGACUCCAUGAAGGCGGAGUCGCUAGUAAUCGCGGAUCAGCAACGCCGCGGUGAAUGCGUUCCCGGGCCUUGUACACACCGCCCGUCAAGUCAUGAAAGUGGGUAGCACCCGAAGCCGGUGGCCCAACCUUUUGGGGGGAGCCGUCUAAGGUGAGACUCGUGAUUGGGACUAAGUCGUAACAAGGUAGCCGUACCGGAAGGUGCGGCUG
RNAcentral lists this ribosomal RNA (1170 nucleotides) under human gut metagenome. Its description in RNAcentral is "bacterial SSU rRNA". It matches the Rfam family "Bacterial small subunit ribosomal RNA", at positions 344 to 1520 of the family's 1533-position model. The record is from RNAcentral.